This 253-nucleotide ribosomal RNA is filed under the name uncultured bacterium. RNAcentral's name for it is "partial 16S ribosomal RNA". It matches the Rfam family "Bacterial small subunit ribosomal RNA", at positions 524 to 776 of the family's 1533-position model. The record is from RNAcentral.
UACAGGGGGUGCAAACGUUGCUCGGAAUCAUUGGGCGUAAAGCGCACGUAGGCGGUUCGUUAUGUCGGAUGUGAAAGCCCUUGGCUUAACCGAGGAAGUGCAUCCGAAACUGGCGAGCUAGAGUACUAAAGAGGAUCGCGGAAUUCCCGGUGUAGAGGUGAAAUUCGUAGAUAUCGGGAGGAACACCGGUGGCGAAAGCGGCUUCCUGGUCCAGUACCGACGUUCAGGCACGAAAGCGUGGGGAGCAAACAGG